This 97-nucleotide transfer RNA is filed under the name Melampsora larici-populina 98AG31. Its description in RNAcentral is "tRNA-Asn for anticodon GUU". It matches the Rfam family "tRNA". From Rfam's summary of the family: Transfer RNA (tRNA) molecules are approximately 80 nucleotides in length. Their secondary structure includes four short double-helical elements and three loops (D, anti-codon, and T loops). Further hydrogen bonds mediate the characteristic L-shaped molecular structure. tRNAs have two regions of fundamental functional importance: the anti-codon, which is responsible for specific mRNA codon recognition, and the 3' end, to which the tRNAs corresponding amino acid is attached (by aminoacyl-tRNA synthetases). tRNAs cope with the degeneracy of the genetic code in two manners: having more than one tRNA (with a specific anti-codon) for a particular amino acid; and 'wobble' base-pairing, i.e. permitting non-standard base-pairing at the 3rd anti-codon position. The record is from Rfam by way of RNAcentral. Lineage: Eukaryota; Fungi; Basidiomycota; Pucciniomycetes; Pucciniales; Melampsoraceae.
GUUUCUAUGGCGCAAUUGGCUAGCGCGUCUGACUGUUAUUAAUCUGCUUGAUUGAUUUCAAAUCAGGAGGUUGACAGUUCAAGCCUGUCUAGGAACG